Mycena capillaripes is the source of this 98-nucleotide non-coding RNA. Lineage: Eukaryota; Fungi; Basidiomycota; Agaricomycetes; Agaricales; Mycenaceae. The record is from the annotation of a GenBank genome assembly.
GGCUCGGUGGUGGAUGGUUCCACACCCGCAAUUCGUGUCGCUAUUCCAUCCGCUCUGUGUUCAUGCGGGGAUCGCCCGUUCGACUCCGGCCCGAGCCU